Nerophis ophidion (straightnose pipefish) is the source of this 1081-nucleotide long non-coding RNA. RefSeq lists it as uncharacterized. The record is from RefSeq and is a predicted model, not a curated record. The transcript is spliced from 2 exons. Lineage: Eukaryota; Metazoa; Chordata; Actinopteri; Syngnathiformes; Syngnathidae.
CGCCGGAGAGACUGAAGUACUGUUGGAUAAACUAAAUGAAUUAUAGGUGGCAAUAUCUCCCAAAUAAACUGUCAAAUGAGCGGUAGUUUGUGAGAAGGCUUUAAUUUGGCGUUAGCUACUUGCGCUAUGUUUGGAAAUUUGUAUUAAAUCUGUAGUUAGCAUGUAGCUUCGGCUAGCAUCCGUCGCUAAGCUCACUAUUGACACAAAUGGUGAUAAAAAUUACAUUAUAAGGUGUUUGAAAUGAUAGUGGCUAAACGGGCGUUGUAAGGAAAAUCCUUCCAACCACAACGUGUCUGCUGGGAGGACAUUCCUCACUUCGACGGGGGGGGGGGGUGUUACCGUGUGCGCGUGUGCGCGUGCGCGUGUGUGAGUGUGUUUUCUGGCCAUGCUGACUUAAUGGGGACAUCGCUCUGUUUACACAGUCACCUUUAGGGGACCUCUGACGGUAUGGGGACAAAAUAACAGGUCCCCUAAGGGGAAAAUGUUUGUAUUUUAUUUCUGUGGUUUAAGAUAAGAUUUUUUUUUAUUGCUCCCACAACAGGGAAACUUGGGUUACUUUGUUUACAUGUUUCAAGUAUUGGUAAAAGAGAAAAUAAAUGUUCUUGAAAAGUGAAACAUUAAUAGUACUGUGAUUUUCUAUGGUAUCCAGCCUUAGUUCAAACUAAUAUAGAAAACAACAUCUGGUUUAGUGUUCCUUAGGAUGACAUUUUCAUACAGCAUAAUUAUAAAACAUUAUUCCCUUAAAGUAUGAUUUACAUUCAGAAUGUUCCAACCUUGGAGUUGCAGACAACCUCAUUACGGCUAAAUAGCACUUUUCAGUCAUGUCACAGAAGAUGCAGGAUUUGUUUUGACAUUGAAGUGAUGAAACUUGCUAUAAGAGGACAGCUGGAUUCUGAGGAUCAUGUCAUAUUUCAUUUCAACUUUUGUUUUUUUUAAAUGGUCCUCAGUAGUCAGUACACAUUUGUGUGAAUUAUGCAAAAUUAUUGAAAUGUGGUCACCAUGAACCAUAUUAACUCUUUCCCCAAAUGCCAUGUAUGUUUGUAGCACUGCUUAAUAACUGUUAAUAAAUAGUUUUGGUCCA